AGGGGAAACCAUGCCUCAUGCGAGAGACGACUGGAUGCCUUGGCAUUUACAGGCCUCUCUUCUGUGGUGGAAGGUAAAUAUCCUAAGAAAAACAAACCUUGGCUGCAGCUGUCUUCAGGGAUCUGUGUACUUUCAAGAUAAGAAAACCUAAUUUCCAGAGGGUAUGCCUUACCACAGCAGGCCUCCACGUGGCUUACACAAAUAAUGCAAAAAUCUCCAACAACCCCUACCAAGAACUUACUCCUGGUGC
Cercocebus atys (sooty mangabey) is the source of this 250-nucleotide long non-coding RNA. RefSeq lists it as uncharacterized. Lineage: Eukaryota; Metazoa; Chordata; Mammalia; Primates; Cercopithecidae. The record is from RefSeq and is a predicted model, not a curated record. The transcript is spliced from 3 exons.